AACUUUACACUGCGGGAAACCGCGAUAAGGGGACCCCGAGUGCCAGCACCUAGUGCUGGCUGUCCAGCUGUCUAAAUAACAGCUGUUAGCAAGGGCCGGGCAAGACCGGUGCCAGCCGCCGCGGUAACACCGGCGGCCCGAGUGGUAACCGUUUUUAUUGGGUUUAAAGGGUCCGUAGCCGGCUUAUUAAGUCUCUUGGGAAAUCUGGCGGCUCAAUCGUCAGGCGUCCAAGAGAUACUGGUAGGCUUGGGACCGGGAGAGGUGGGAGGUACUCCAGGGGUAGGGGUGAAAUCUCGUAAUCCUUGGGGGACCACCGAUGGCGAAGGCAUCCCACCAGAACGGGUCCGACGGUGAGGGACGAAAGCUGGGGGCACGAACCGGAUUAGAUACCCGGGUAGUCCCAGCUGUAAACGAUGCUCGCUAGGUGUCAGGUGCGGUGCGACCGCAUCUGGUGCCGCAGUGAAAACUUGAAGCGAGUCACCUGGGAAGUACGGUCGCAAGGCUGAAACUUAAAGGAAUUGGCGGGGGAGCAC
Molecule: ribosomal RNA, 533 nt
Filed under: uncultured archaeon
Lineage: Archaea
Description: bacterial SSU rRNA
Rfam family: Archaeal small subunit ribosomal RNA
Source: RNAcentral